AUGUCACUUCCUGUGUCAGAUCCAAGCCCCCUGCAUAACCAGCGCUGCGUCCGCUCAUCACUCAUUCUCAGUUCUGCUCUCAGGUCCAGUAUGAGCACAGCUCUCUUAGUGCUGCUCUUCACAUCACUGUGGAAUGCAGGCUCUGCUGAAGGGAAUGAUGUCACACAGACACCUAGAACAUUGUGGAAACAACUUGGAGAUUCUGCAAAGAUGAGUUGUAGUCACACUAAGGGUGCAACCUACAAUCAGAUGUACUGGUACCGACAGCGUCAAGGGGAGACCAUGGGGCUGGUUGUCUUCACUACUUCAUAUGGCACAGAAGAGUUUGGAGAUGUCAACAGUAGUAGAUAUUCCACUGUUAAAACUGUACCUGAGAGUGGAUCGUUAACAGUAAGUGAAGUGGAAUCUGAUGACAGUGGCCUUUACUUCUGUUCAAUUUUGCAGAGAAACAAUGUCACUCACACCCCUGGAAUAUGGGGACAAGGCAAAUCUGCUGAGAUGACCCGCAGCCACUCCAAAAGCGUUGCCUACAGUAUAAUCAGAUGGAUUGGUAUCGGCAACGCCAAGGGGAAUCAGUGA
Alosa alosa (allis shad) is the source of this 579-nucleotide non-coding RNA. The record is from the annotation of a RefSeq genome assembly. NCBI's taxonomy places the organism in Eukaryota, Metazoa, Chordata, Actinopteri, Clupeiformes, Clupeidae.